AUUGUUUCGCGAGUAUGAGGCCUGGCUUCGCGGCCGGCUGAAAUAUUUUUUUCACCCAUGUCUUUUGCGCACUUGUUGUUUCCUGGGCGGGUUCGCCCGCCACCAGGACCAAACCAUAAACCUUUUUUUUAUGCAGUUGCAAUCAGCGUCAGUAAAAACAAUGUAAUUAUUACAACUUUCAACAACGGAUCUCUUGGUUCUGGCAUCGAUGAAGAACGCAGCGAAAUGCGAUACGUAGUGUGAAUUGCAGAAUUCAGUGAAUCAUCGAAUCUUUGAACGCACAUUGCGCCCUUUGGUAUUCCAAAGGGCAUGCCUGUUCGAGCGUCAUUUGUACCUUCAAGCUUUGCUUGGUGUUGGGCGUUUUUUGUCUCCCUCUUUCUGGGAGACUCGCCUUAAAACGAUUGGCAGCCGGCCUACUGGUUUCGGAGCGCAGCACAUAUUUUGCGCUUUGUAUCAGGAGAAAAGGACGGUAAUCCAUCAAGACUCUACAUUUUUAACUUUUGACCUCGGAUCAGGUAGGGAUACCCGCUGAACUUAAGCAUAUCAAAAGCGGGAAGGAA
This 560-nucleotide ribosomal RNA is filed under the name Bipolaris sorokiniana. RNAcentral's name for it is "eukaryotic LSU rRNA". The stretch from base 174 to 327 matches the Rfam family "5.8S ribosomal RNA". Lineage: Eukaryota; Fungi; Ascomycota; Dothideomycetes; Pleosporales; Pleosporaceae. The record is from RNAcentral.